Molecule: ribosomal RNA, 429 nt
Filed under: Bacteroidota bacterium
Lineage: Bacteria; Pseudomonadati; Bacteroidota
Description: Bacteroidetes bacterium partial 16S ribosomal RNA
Rfam family: Bacterial small subunit ribosomal RNA
Source: RNAcentral
UAGGGAAUCUUCGGCAAUGGGGGGAACCCUGACCGAGCAACGCCGCGUGAGUGAAGAAGGUUUUCGGAUCGUAAAGCUCUGUUGUUAAGGAAGAACGAGUGUGAGAAUGGAAAGUUCAUACUGUGACGGUACUUAACCAGAAAGGGACGGCUAACUACGUGCCAGCAGCCGCGGUAAUACGUAGGUCCCGAGCGUUGUCCGGAUUUAUUGGGCGUAAAGCGAGCGCAGGCGGUUAGAUAAGUCUGAAGUUAAAGGCAGUGGCUCAACCAUUGUAGGCUUUGGAAACUGUUUAACUUGAGUGCAGAAGGGGAGAGUGGAAUUCCAUGUGUAGCGGUGAAAUGCGUAGAUAUAUGGAGGAACACCGGUGGCGAAAGCGGCUCUCUGGUCUGUAACUGACGCUGAGGCUGGAAAGCGUGGGGAGCGAACAGG